AACGAACGCUGGCGGCAGGCUUAACACAUGCAAGUCGAGCGGGACCUUCGGGUCUAGCGGCGGACGGGUGAGUAACGCGUGGGAACGUGCCCUUCUCUACGGAAUAGCCCCGGGAAACUGGGAGUAAUACCGUAUACGCCCUUUGGGGGAAAGAUUUAUCGGAGAAGGAUCGGCCCGCGUUGGAUUAGGUAGUUGGUGGGGUAAUGGCCCACCAAGCCGACGAUCCAUAGCUGGUUUGAGAGGAUGAUCAGCCACACUGGGACUGAGACACGGCCCAGACUCCUACGGGAGGCAGCAGUGGGGAAUCUUAGACAAUGGGGGCAACCCUGAUCUAGCCAUGCCGCGUGAGUGAUGAAGGCCUUAGGGUUGUAAAGCUCUUUCAGCUGGGAAGAUAAUGACGGUACCAGCAGAAGAAGCCCCGGCUAACUCCGUG
Molecule: ribosomal RNA, 433 nt
Filed under: uncultured bacterium
Lineage: Bacteria
Description: partial 16S ribosomal RNA
Rfam family: Bacterial small subunit ribosomal RNA
Source: RNAcentral